RNAcentral lists this ribosomal RNA (465 nucleotides) under uncultured bacterium. RNAcentral describes it as "partial 16S ribosomal RNA". It matches the Rfam family "Bacterial small subunit ribosomal RNA", at positions 28 to 506 of the family's 1533-position model. The record is from RNAcentral.
GAUGAACGCUGGCGGCGUGCUUAACACAUGCAAGUCGAACGAUGAAGCCCAGCUUGCUGGGUGGAUUAGUGGCGAACGGGUGAGUAACACGUGAGUAACCUGCCCUUGACUCUGGGAUAAGCCUGGGAAACUGGGUCUAAUACUGGAUAUGACUUCUCAUCGCAUGGUGGGGGGUGGAAAGAUUUAUUGGUCUUGGAUGGACUCGCGGCCUAUCAGCUUGUUGGUGAGGUAAUGGCUCACCAAGGCGACGACGGGUAGCCGGCCUGAGAGGGUGACCGGCCACACUGGGACUGAGACACGGCCCAGACUCCUACGGGAGGCAGCAGUGGGGAAUAUUGCACAAUGGGCGCAAGCCUGAUGCAGCGACGCCGCGUGAGGGAUGACGGCCUUCGGGUUGUAAACCUCUUUCAGUAGGGAAGAAGCGAGAGUGACGGGACCUGCAGAAGAAGCGCCGGCUAACUACGU